AGCGAACGCUGGCGGCAGGCCUAACACAUGCAAGUCGAACGAACUCUUCGGAGUUAGUGGCGGACGGGUGAGUAACACGUGGGAACGUGCCUUUUGGUUCGGAAUAACUCAGGGAAACUUGUGCUAAUACCGCAUGUGCCCUUCGGGGGAAAGAUUUAUCGCUAUUUGAGCGGCCCGCGUCUGAUUAGCUAGUUGGUGAGGUAACGGCUCACCAAGGCGACGAUCAGUAGCUGGUCUGAGAGGAUGACCAGCCACACUGGGACUGAGACACGGCCCAGACUCCUACGGGAGGCAGCAGUGGGGAAUCUUGCGCAAUGGGCGAAAGCCUGACGCAGCCAUGCCGCGUGAAUGAUGAAGGUCUUAGGAUUGUAAAAUUCUUUCACCGGGGACGAUAAUGACGGUACCCGGAGAAGAAGCCCCGGCUAACUUCGUG
RNAcentral lists this ribosomal RNA (433 nucleotides) under uncultured bacterium. RNAcentral's name for it is "partial 16S ribosomal RNA". It matches the Rfam family "Bacterial small subunit ribosomal RNA", at positions 29 to 507 of the family's 1533-position model. The record is from RNAcentral.